GACGAACGCUGGCGGCGUGCUUAACACAUGCAAGUCGAACGGAAAGGCCCUGCUUUUGUGGGGUGCUCGAGUGGCGAACGGGUGAGUAACACGUGAGUAACCUGCCCUUGACUUUGGGAUAACUUCAGGAAACUGGGGCUAAUACCGGAUAGGAGCUCCUGCUGCAUGGUGGGGGUUGGAAAGUUUCGGCGGUUGGGGAUGGACUCGCGGCUUAUCAGCUUGUUGGUGGGGUAGUGGCUUACCAAGGCUUUGACGGGUAGCCGGCCUGAGAGGGUGACCGGCCACAUUGGGACUGAGAUACGGCCCAGACUCCUACGGGAGGCAGCAGUGUGGAAUAUUGCACAAUGGGCGGAAGCCUGAUGCAGCAACGCCGCGUGCGGGAUGACGGCCUUCGGGUUGUAAACCGCUUUCGCCUGUGACGAAGCGUGAGUGACGGUAAUGUGUAAAGAAGCACCGGCUAACUACGUG
RNAcentral lists this ribosomal RNA (468 nucleotides) under uncultured bacterium. RNAcentral describes it as "partial 16S ribosomal RNA". It matches the Rfam family "Bacterial small subunit ribosomal RNA", at positions 28 to 507 of the family's 1533-position model. The record is from RNAcentral.